UGGGGAAUUUUCCGCAAUGGGCGAAAGCCUGACGGAGCAAGACCGCGUGAGGGAGGAAGGCCUUUGGGUUGUAAACCUCUUUUCUCAGGGAAGAAGCAAGUGACGGUACCUGAGGAAUCAGCCUCGGCUAACUCCGUGCCAGCAGCCGCGGUAAUACGGAGGAGGCAAGCGUUAUCCGGAAUUAUUGGGCGUAAAGCGUCCGCAGGUGGUGAGUCAAGUCCGCUGUUAAAGACCGGGGCUUAACCCUGGAGAGGCAGUAGAAACUGACUGACUAGAGUACGGUAGGGGUAGAGGGAAUUCCCAGUGUAGCGGUGAAAUGCGUAGAGAUUGGGAAGAACACCAGUGGCGAAAGCGCUCUACUGGGCCGUAACUGACACUCACAGGACGAAAGCUAAGGGAGCGAAUGGGAUUAGAUACCCCCGUAGUCC
RNAcentral lists this ribosomal RNA (428 nucleotides) under uncultured prokaryote. RNAcentral's name for it is "bacterial SSU rRNA". It matches the Rfam family "Bacterial small subunit ribosomal RNA", at positions 355 to 796 of the family's 1533-position model. The record is from RNAcentral.